RNAcentral lists this ribosomal RNA (1451 nucleotides) under uncultured organism. Its description in RNAcentral is "SSU rRNA". It matches the Rfam family "Bacterial small subunit ribosomal RNA". The record is from RNAcentral.
UGAACGCUAGCUACAGGCUUAACACAUGCAAGUCGAGGGGCAGCAUGGUCUUAGCUUGCUAAGGCCGAUGGCGACCGGCGCACGGGUGAGUAACACGUAUCCAACCUGCCGUCUACUCUUGGACAGCCUUCUGAAAGGAAGAUUAAUACAAGAUGGCAUCAUGAGUCCGCAUGUUCACAUGAUUAAAGGUAUUCCGGUAGACGAUGGGGGUGCGUUCCAUUAGAUAGUAGGCGGGGUAACGGCCCACCUAGUCUUCGAUGGAUAGGGGUUCUGAGAGGAAGGUCCCCCACAUUGGAACUGAGACACGGUCCAAACUCCUACGGGAGGCAGCAGUGAGGAAUAUUGGUCAAUGGGCGAGAGCCUGAACCAGCCAAGUAGCGUGAAGGAUGACUGCCCUAUGGGUUGUAAACUUCUUUUAUAAAGGAAUAAAGUCGGGUAUGCAUACCCGUUUGCAUGUACUUUAUGAAUAAGGAUCGGCUAACUCCGUGCCAGCAGCCGCGGUAAUACGGAGGAUCCGAGCGUUAUCCGGAUUUAUUGGGUUUAAAGGGAGCGUAGAUGGAUGUUUAAGUCAGUUGUGAAAGUUUGCGGCUCAACCGUAAAAUUGCAGUUGAUACUGGAUAUCUUGAGUGCAGUUGAGGCAGGCGGAAUUCGUGGUGUAGCGGUGAAAUGCUUAGAUAUCACGAAGAACUCCGAUUGCGAAGGCAGCCUGCUAAGCUGCAACUGACAUUGAGGCUCGAAAGUGCGGGUAUCAAACAGGAUUAGAUACCCUGGUAGUCCACACGGUAAACGAUGAAUACUCGCUGCUUGCGAUAUACGGCAAGCGGCCAAGCGAAAGCGUUAAGUAUUCCACCUGGGGAGUACGCCGGCAACGGUGAAACUCAAAGGAAUUGACGGGGGCCCGCACAAGCGGAGGAACAUGUGGUUUAAUUCGAUGAUACGCGAGGAACCUUACCCGGGCUUAAAUUGCAGAUGAAUUACGGUGAAAGCCGUAAGCCGCAAGGCAUCUGUGAAGGUGCUGCAUGGUUGUCGUCAGCUCGUGCCGUGAGGUGUCGGCUUAAGUGCCAUAACGAGCGCAACCCUUGUUGUCAGUUACUGACAGGUUCCGCUGAGGACUCUGACAAGACUGCCAUCGUAAGAUGUGAGGAAGGUGGGGAUGACGUCAAAUCAGCACGGCCCUUACGUCCGGGGCUACACACGUGUUACAAUGGGGGGUACAGAGGGCCGCUACCACGCGAGUGGAUGCCAAUCCCCAAAACCUCUCUCAGUUCGGACUGGAGUCUGCAACCCGACUCCACGAAGCUGGAUUCGCUAGUAAUCGCGCAUCAGCCACGGCGCGGUGAAUACGUUCCCGGGCCUUGUACACACCGCCCGUCAAGCCAUGGGAGCCGGGGGUACCUGAAGUGCGUAACCGCGAGGAGCGCCCUAGGGUAAAACUGGUGACUGGGGCUAAG